AUUGAACGCUGGCGGCAGGCCUAACACAUGCAAGUCGAGCGGAUGAAGGGAGCUUGCUCCUGGAUUCAGCGGCGGACGGGUGAGUAAUGCCUAGGAAUCUGCCUGGUAGUGGGGGAUAACGUCCGGAAACGGGCGCUAAUACCGCAUACGUCCUGAGGGUGAAAGUGGGGGAUCUUCGGACCUCACGCUAUCAGAUGAGCCUAGGUCGGAUUAGCUAGUUGGUGGGGUAAAGGCCUACCAAGGCGACGAUCCGUAACUGGUCUGAGAGGAUGAUCAGUCACACUGGAACUGAGACACGGUCCAGACUCCUACGGGAGGCAGCAGUGGGGAAUAUUGGACAAUGGGCGAAAGUCUGAUCCAGCCAUGCCGCGUGUGUGAAGAAGGUCUUCGGAUUGUAAAGCACUUUAAGUUGGGAGGAAGGGCAGUAAGUUAAUACCUUGCUGUUUUGACGUUACCAACAGAAUAAGCACCGGCUAACUUCGUG
Molecule: ribosomal RNA, 484 nt
Filed under: uncultured bacterium
Lineage: Bacteria
Description: partial 16S ribosomal RNA
Rfam family: Bacterial small subunit ribosomal RNA
Source: RNAcentral